AACGAACGCUGGCGGCAUGCCUAACACAUGCAAGUCGAACGAGACCUUCGGGUCUAGUGGCGCACGGGUGCGUAACGCGUGGGAACCUGCCCUUAGGUUCGGAAUAACUCCCCGAAAGGGGUGCUAAUACCGGAUAAUGUCUUCGGACCAAAGAUUUAUCGCCUUUGGAUGGGCCCGAGUUGGAUUAGCUAGUUGGUAGGGUAAAAGCCUACCAAGGCGACGAUCCAUAGCUGGUCUGAGAGGAUGAUCAGCCACACUGGGACUGAGACACGGCCCAGACUCCUACGGGAGGAAGCAGUGGGGAAUAUUGGACAAUGGGCGAAAGCCUGAUCCAGCAAUGCCGCGUGAGUGAUGAAGGCCUUAGGGUUGUAAAGCUCUUUUACCCGGGAUGAUAAUGACAGUACCGGGAGAAUAAGCGCCGGCUAACUCCGUG
RNAcentral lists this ribosomal RNA (433 nucleotides) under uncultured bacterium. RNAcentral's name for it is "partial 16S ribosomal RNA". It matches the Rfam family "Bacterial small subunit ribosomal RNA", at positions 29 to 507 of the family's 1533-position model. The record is from RNAcentral.